AACGUAGGACACAAGCGUUAUCCGGAAUUACUGGGCUUAAAGGGCGUGCAGGCGGUUGCGUAAGUUAGGCGUGAAAGACUUCGGCUAAACCGGGGGAGGUCGUCUGAUACUGCGCAACUAGAGUAUGGUAGAGGCGUGUAGAAUUCCGGGUGUAGUGGUGAAAUGCGUAGAGAUCCGGAGGAAUACCAGUGGCGAAGGCGGCACGCUGGGCCAUUACUGACGCUAAGACGCGAAAGCAUGGGUAGCGAACGGG
RNAcentral lists this ribosomal RNA (253 nucleotides) under uncultured bacterium. RNAcentral's name for it is "partial 16S ribosomal RNA". It matches the Rfam family "Bacterial small subunit ribosomal RNA", at positions 524 to 776 of the family's 1533-position model. The record is from RNAcentral.